AUUGAACGCUGGCGGCAGGCCUAACACAUGCAAGUAGGACGCAGUUGCGAACGGGUGAGUAAAGCGUAGGUAACUACCUAUUAGAGGGGGAUAACUAUUGGAAACGAUAGCUAAUACCGCAUACUAGUAGAUGGACCUGCGUUGUAUUCGCUAGUAGGUAGGGUAAUGGCCUACCUAGGCAACGAUACAUAGCCGACCUGAGAUGGGGAUCGGCCCAACUGGGACUGAGACACGGCCCAGACUCCGACGGGAGGCAGCAGUAGGGAAUCUGCGGCAAUGGGGGGAACCGUGACCGAGCAACGCCGCGUGAGUGAAGAAGGUUGUCGGAUCGUAAAGCUCUGUUGUUAAGGAAGCGGUACUUAACCAGAAAGGGACGGCUAACUACGUGCCAGCAGCCGCGGUAAUAC
This 407-nucleotide ribosomal RNA is filed under the name uncultured bacterium. RNAcentral's name for it is "partial 16S ribosomal RNA". It matches the Rfam family "Bacterial small subunit ribosomal RNA", at positions 30 to 526 of the family's 1533-position model. The record is from RNAcentral.